GGGGUGGUAGCUCAGUUGGUAGAGCAACGGCCUUUUAAGCCGUGGGUCCCGGGUUCGAGUCCCGGCCGCCUCACCA
RNAcentral lists this transfer RNA (76 nucleotides) under Bryobacterales bacterium. RNAcentral's name for it is "tRNA-Lys". It matches the Rfam family "tRNA". Rfam says of the family: Transfer RNA (tRNA) molecules are approximately 80 nucleotides in length. Their secondary structure includes four short double-helical elements and three loops (D, anti-codon, and T loops). Further hydrogen bonds mediate the characteristic L-shaped molecular structure. tRNAs have two regions of fundamental functional importance: the anti-codon, which is responsible for specific mRNA codon recognition, and the 3' end, to which the tRNAs corresponding amino acid is attached (by aminoacyl-tRNA synthetases). tRNAs cope with the degeneracy of the genetic code in two manners: having more than one tRNA (with a specific anti-codon) for a particular amino acid; and 'wobble' base-pairing, i.e. permitting non-standard base-pairing at the 3rd anti-codon position. RNAcentral also lists the same sequence under 1 other name. The record is from RNAcentral. Lineage: Bacteria; Pseudomonadati; Acidobacteriota; Terriglobia; Bryobacterales.